Molecule: non-coding RNA, 396 nt
Organism: Paramuricea clavata
Lineage: Eukaryota; Metazoa; Cnidaria; Anthozoa; Malacalcyonacea; Plexauridae
Source: the annotation of a GenBank genome assembly
GGCGUUCUGCCCGCUUGAACACGGGGAGAGACUGAUGUCUCUGAGUCUCUCCCCGUGUUCAAGCGGGGAGAACGCCUGACAUUUCAGGCUAGAUUCUGGUGCUGCAGAUCAGUAGUCAUCAUGCAGAUAGCCUGCAUAGUAGGCGCUAUUUAGGGGGUAGGGCAAGGGUGGGAGAAGCUAGUGGGGGGAUGCGAAGGCGAGAGAAAGAGCGAGAAAAAAUGGGAGGGGCAAGAAAGAAAUAGCUAUUUCUUUCUCGCCCCUCCCAUUUUUCCUCGCUCUCUUUCUCUCGCCUUCGCACCCCCCCCCUAGCUUCUCCCACCCUCCCCCUCCCCAUUAAAUAGCGCCUGCUACGCAGGCUAUCCAUGCAGAUGCUGCAGCUUUUCAUGUAGGUGGCUC